GUGCUUGCUUCGGCAGCACAUACGCAAAUUCACAACUGUAACUAUACGGAGAAGAUUGGCACGGCCCCUGCGCUAGGGUGAUACAGGCUUCAAUAUCAGACGGUUUCUCUUAUG
Molecule: small nuclear RNA, 114 nt
Filed under: Chinchilla lanigera (long-tailed chinchilla)
Lineage: Eukaryota; Metazoa; Chordata; Mammalia; Rodentia; Chinchillidae
Source: RNAcentral